AACGAACGCUGGCGGCAGGCCUAAUACAUGCACGUCUAGCGAGCGGCGGACGGGUGAGUAAUGUCUGGGAAACUGCCUGAUGGAGGGGGAUAACUUCUGGAAACGGUAGCCAAUACCGCAAACCAUCACAUUUGCCCAGAUGGGCUUCGCUAGUAGGGUGGGUAACGGCUCACCUAGUCGACGUUCCCUAGCUGGUCUGAGAGGAUGACCAGCAACACUGGAACGGAGACACGGUCCAGACUCCUACGGGAGGCAGCGGUGGGGAAUAUUGCACAAUGGGCGCAAGGCUGAUGCCGCCAUGCCGGGUGUGUGAAGAAGGCCUUCGAGUUGUAAGGCACUUUCAGCGGGGAGGCGUUACCCGCAGAAGAAGCACCGGCUAACUCCGUGCCAGCCGCCGCGGUAAUAC
This 406-nucleotide ribosomal RNA is filed under the name uncultured bacterium. Its description in RNAcentral is "partial 16S ribosomal RNA". It matches the Rfam family "Bacterial small subunit ribosomal RNA", at positions 29 to 526 of the family's 1533-position model. The record is from RNAcentral.